RNAcentral lists this ribosomal RNA (540 nucleotides) under Paenibacillus odorifer. RNAcentral's name for it is "bacterial SSU rRNA". It matches the Rfam family "Bacterial small subunit ribosomal RNA", at positions 1 to 522 of the family's 1533-position model. The record is from RNAcentral. Lineage: Bacteria; Bacillati; Bacillota; Bacilli; Caryophanales; Paenibacillaceae.
UGGAGAGUUUGAUCCUGGCUCAGGACGAACGCUGGCGGCGUGCCUAAUACAUGCAAGUCGAGCGGAGUYAUUUUGAAAGCUUGCUUUCAAAAUAACUUAGCGGCGGACGGGUGAGUAACACGUAGGCAACCUGCCCUUCAGACUGGGAUAACUACCGGAAACGGUAGCUAAUACCGGAUAAUUUCUUUUUUCUCCUGAGAGAAGAAUGAAAGACGGAGCAAUCUGUCACUGAGGGAUGGGCCUGCGGCGCAUUAGCUAGUUGGUGGGGUAACGGCCCACCAAGGCGACGAUGCGUAGCCGACCUGAGAGGGUGAACGGCCACACUGGGACUGAGACACGGCCCAGACUCCUACGGGAGGCAGCAGUAGGGAAUCUUCCGCAAUGGGCGAAAGCCUGACGGAGCAACGCCGCGUGAGUGAUGAAGGUUUUCGGAUCGUAAAGCUCUGUUGCCAGGGAAGAACGUCCGGUAGAGUAACUGCUACCGGAGUGACGGUACCUGAGAAGAAAGCCCCGGCUAACUACGUGCCAGCAGCCGCGGUA